UACGUAGGGGGCGAGCGUUGUCCGGAUUUAUUGGGCGUAAAGGGCUCGUAGGUGGCCAACUAAGUCAUACGUGAAAUCCCUCGGCUUAACCGGGGAACUGCGUCUGAUACUGGAUGGCUUGAGUUUGGGAGAGGGAUGCGGAAUUCCAGGUGUAGCGGUGAAAUGCGUAGAUAUCUGGAGGAACACCGGUGGCGAAGGCGGCAUCCUGGACCAAUACUGACACUGAGGAGCGAAAGCCAGGGGAGCAAACGGG
RNAcentral lists this ribosomal RNA (253 nucleotides) under uncultured bacterium. Its description in RNAcentral is "partial 16S ribosomal RNA". It matches the Rfam family "Bacterial small subunit ribosomal RNA", at positions 524 to 776 of the family's 1533-position model. The record is from RNAcentral.